UAACAGCAUCAAUCAAGCUCUAUCGUUGUCUAGGGGUAAAUGACCAAUUUCAAAAUUACUCAAAGUUCAGUCCAGUUAGUAGUUCAGUUCGCAGUAAUCAUUGCCAUGGCGGUGGACAACGUGGGGGAAGAGAGACAUAGAACAGGAACAACUGAUCAUUCAGAACGGCUUCACUCACAGACCAGCAAGAUGGCUCACAGACCAGCAAGAUGGCUCACAAACAGCUUUUGGGCAGGUCCUUGGUGAUGUCACCUGAGGUCACCGACUGUGACCCCUCCUCCAGAUGCGGUCGAUCCUCUGCAGUGAACCCGGCACCCAGGCAAGGGCGGACACACACCGGGUUCCCGCUGAUCGUACCUUUCCACCCUUGUCGUUGUCUGGUACUUCUCACCCACUCGUGAGAAGCGCACCGCUUCCAGGGUCUCGUUACCUCGGGUGGCGUGUGUGUCUGUCUUAGCGAACCUGUCCCUUUUUAUCCCCCUGCUGGGGUAUCGCCUGUCCAUCACUUCAAACAGUUCAGGGUUCAAAGGGGGGAGCCGCUCCAGACAGCUCUCUCUCCCACAUCCCUUCAUUACACAUCUCCAGACGCUGCUCCAUUGUUCCUUAUCUCUCCUUCCCCUGAGGGCAGGUAGCAGACCAACUGCUGAUGCCACUGAUGCUAGCCCAGGCCAGCAAACAUCUUAAUUUUAUGUGUAUUCUCGUAACACUGUGGUACAAAAUCAGGGGGGAUUGAUAUGUCACUGUACCACACCACAGUAUCUAAAGGUGGGGAUGAGUUUCUGACUGUAGAACAUGAGGGGACAAUCCAGCAGUGUAUGGAUCUUUUGCUGAAAAACACCCGGGUGCAAUUUCUGUGGAUAUGGGAAUGACACAGUAUAUGUAAUAGGUGGGGAGUUCUCUGUCACUAUAUACCACCAGGGUACAGUACUGGAGAAGACUUGUCUAUCGCUGUUCAACGCUGUGGUACAGCACUGGGGGUGAUGGUUCUGUCAUUGUAUAACUGUGGGGAACAAUCCUGGAAGUGAUGUUUCUUUCACUGUACCACUACAAGGUAGAAUACCAGUGGACACACAUAGAAGUUUCUGGUGUACGCAGCAGACCAGGCAGCAUCUCUAGGAAGAGAUACAGUCGACGUUCCGGGCCCGAGAUCCUUCGUCAUGACGAACUGAAAGAAGAGCUGGUAGAAUACCAGUGGACACACAUAGAAGUUUCUGGUGAACGCAGCAGACCACGCAGCAUCUCUAGGAAGAGAUACAGUCGACGUUUCGGGCCGAGAUCCUUCGUCAUGACGAACUGAAAGAAGAGCUGGUAGAAUACCAGUGGACACACAUAGAAGUUUCUGGUGAACGCAGCAGACCAGGAGGCAUCUCUAGGAAAAGAUACAGUCGACGUUUCGGGCCCGAGAUCCUUCGUCAUGACGAACUGAAAGAAGAGCUGAGCGAGCCGCUGAUAAAGCUAAUUAACCAGCACGCAGACGUAUGUCCGGAUGUCCCGAGGCGAUGCAAACAGCCGGUACAUGGUGUUGUUGUCACAUCACGUCAGCCUAGUAAGCAACACCCCUAUAGGAUGAUUAAUUCAGUGAAAAAGGGGCUAAAGAACGCAGAAGUGUAUAUUGACAAUUUAGUGGUCUGGAGUGACAGUGGGAGGGGCAUAUUGUGGCAGUAGAGGAACUGUUUAAAAAGCUGUCUGAAGCCAUCCUGACAGUGAACCUCGCAAAAAAUGAAUUCAGCCACGCGAAGAUCACUUAUCUAGGAUUUGUGGUAGGACAGGGGCAGUUGGCUCCGAUGCAGGCUAAAGUGCAGGCUAUCUCUGAAGUCCCCACCUUAACAGACAAGAGAGCCCUGAGAAGGUUCUUGGGGAUGGUGGGGUAAUAUUGGAUGUUUUGCAUAAACUUUGCGGAUAUUACCCUCCUUCUUACUAAGCUCUUGCCAAAGAAUGCAAAGAUUGUGUGGGACGUCCUUUGUUAUAUUUGUCCGGCACGGAAACCAGUGAUAAUUUACACAGAUCAUAACCCAUUAGAGUUUUUGGCCACUAUGAAGGAUAAAAACAAAAGGUUGCUAAGUUGGAGCCUGGUCUUACAGGAUUUGGUAUUAAAAUAACACAUAUAAAAUGAACGGAAAAUGUGAUUGCUGACUGUCUGUCAAGGUGGUGAAAACUUAAAGUUCUCUGUAUUAGCCGAAUAGCUGAUGACCCUGUAUAUUAGUGUGUAUCUAAUAAUGUAUUCAUGCCCAUAAUUUUUACCCCAGUAAAAAUCCUUUGAAGGGUAGGGGUGUGACGACAAACCAAGUUAUCAGACGAUUGAUGCUAAUGAGAGAGAGAUAAGGGAGACAAUGGAAAAACAUUCAAAAUGUUAAUGAGAGGGGAGAGAGAGAUAACGGAAUAGAAACACAAUUCAGAAUAUUGACAGACCGGUUGCUUUGAACCUGAACUGUUGGAAGUUUGAUGGACAGGCGAUACCCCAGCAGGGGGAUAAAAAGACCAGGUUCGCUACGGCACGAGACACGCCACGAGAUCACGAGACAACGAGACCCUGGAAGAGCGGUGUUCCCCCACAAGUUGGUGAGAGUUUGGAGGUCCAGAUCGCGGGAACCCACCAGAGACGCACAGGGUGCAAAGGUACAAUCGGUGGGAACCUGGUGUGUGUGUCCGCCCUUGCCUGGGUGCCGGGUUCACGGUGGGAAAACGGUCGUAUCCGGAAUGGAGGGGUCACAGUCGGUGACCACAGCGGGAUAGAAUACAUAAAAGGUUCUGCCCGAAACCAGCUGCGAAGAACAUUAAAGGUCUGCCUGAAUCAAAUUUGCAUCUCUCUCUCUCUCUCUCUCCAACGGCACAACAUCGAUUACUGCGAACUGUACUAAGCUGAGCUGAACUCUGCAUCACUUAAGACUGAUCAUUUUACCCCUAGACUGCGAUAGAGCUUGGUAGAUUCCUAUUACCCUAGUUCUGUGUACAUGUGUGUUUUAUCAUUGCUAACCUGUUGCACUUAUAUCCUUACGAUUA
Molecule: long non-coding RNA, 3000 nt
Organism: Mobula hypostoma (lesser devil ray)
Lineage: Eukaryota; Metazoa; Chordata; Chondrichthyes; Myliobatiformes; Myliobatidae
Exons: 4
Source: RefSeq, a predicted model, not a curated record